This 573-nucleotide ribosomal RNA is filed under the name uncultured Alphaproteobacteria bacterium. Its description in RNAcentral is "bacterial SSU rRNA". It matches the Rfam family "Bacterial small subunit ribosomal RNA", at positions 1 to 574 of the family's 1533-position model. The record is from RNAcentral. Lineage: Bacteria; Pseudomonadati; Pseudomonadota; Alphaproteobacteria.
GUUGGGAGCUCUCCCAUAUGGUCGACCUGCAGGCGGCCGCGAAUUCACUAGUGAUUAGAGUUUGAUCAUGGCUCAGAACGAACGCUGGCGGCAUGCCUAACACAUGCAAGUCGAACGAAGGCUUCGGCCUUAGUGGCGCACGGGUGCGUAACGCGUGGGAAUCUACCCCUUGGUUCGGAAUAACAGUUAGAAAUGACUGCUAAUACCGGAUGACGACGUAAGUCCAAAGAUUUAUCGCCGAGGGAUGAGCCCGCGUAGGAUUAGCUAGUUGGUGUGGUAAAGGCGCACCAAGGCGACGAUCCUUAGCUGGUCUGAGAGGAUGAUCAGCCACACUGGGACUGAGACACGGCCCAGACUCCUACGGGAGGCAGCAGUGGGGAAUAUUGGACAAUGGGCGAAAGCCUGAUCCAGCAAUGCCGCGUGAGUGAUGAAGGCCUUAGGGUUGUAAAGCUCUUUUACCCGGGAUGAUAAUGACAGUACCGGGAGAAUAAGCUCCGGCUAACUCCGUGCCAGCAGCCGCGGUAAUACGAAUCGAAUUCCCGCGGCCGCCAUGGCGGCCGGGAGCAUGCGACG